AAAGUCUGACGGAGCAACGCCGCGUGAGUGAAGAAGGUUUUCGGAUCGUAAAACUCUGUUGUUAGGGAAGAACAAGUGCCGUUCGAAUAGGGCGGCACCUUGACGGUACCUAACCAGAAAGCCACGGCUAACUACGUGCCAGCAGCCGCGGUAAUACGUAGGUGGCAAGCGUUGUCCGGAAUUAUUGGGCGUAAAGCGCGCGCAGGUGGUUUCUUAAGUCUGAUGUGAAAGCCCACGGCUCAACCGUGGAGGGUCAUUGGAAACUGGGGAACUUGAGUGCAGAAGAGGAAAGUGGAAUUCCAAGUGUAGCGGUGAAAUGCGUAGAUAUUUGGAGGAACACCAGUGGCGAAGGCGACUUUCUGGUCUGUAACUGACACUGAGGCGCGAAAGCGUGGGGAGCAAACAG
RNAcentral lists this ribosomal RNA (406 nucleotides) under Bacillus sp. B6. Its description in RNAcentral is "bacterial SSU rRNA". It matches the Rfam family "Bacterial small subunit ribosomal RNA", at positions 378 to 775 of the family's 1533-position model. The record is from RNAcentral. Lineage: Bacteria; Bacillati; Bacillota; Bacilli; Caryophanales; Bacillaceae.